RNAcentral lists this ribosomal RNA (440 nucleotides) under uncultured bacterium. RNAcentral's name for it is "partial 16S ribosomal RNA". It matches the Rfam family "Bacterial small subunit ribosomal RNA", at positions 338 to 795 of the family's 1533-position model. The record is from RNAcentral.
CCUACGGGAGGCAGCAGUGAGGGAUAUUGCACAAUGGGGGCAACCCUGAUCCAGCGACGCCGCGUGUGGGAAGACGGUCCUCUGGAUUGUAAACCACUGUCCCCAGGGACGAAGAUGACGGUACCUUGGGAGGAAGCUCCGGCUAACUACGUGCCAGCAGCCGCGGUAAUACGUAGGGAGCGAGCGUUGUACGGAAUUACUGGGUGUAAAGGGGGCGUAGGCGGGGAUGCAAGUUGGGGGUCAAAAGUACCGGCUCAACUGGUAGUCGCACUCAAAACUGCAGCUCUUGAGUGAAGUAGAGGCAGGCGGAAUGCCUAGUGUAGCGGUGAAAUGCGUAGAUAUCAGGAGGAACACCAGUGGCGAAGGCGGCCUGCUGGGCUUUUACUGACGCUGAGGCUCGAAAGUGUGGGGAGCAAACAGGAUUAGAUACCCGUGUAGUC